RNAcentral lists this ribosomal RNA (3118 nucleotides) under bioreactor sludge metagenome. Its description in RNAcentral is "eukaryotic LSU rRNA". It matches the Rfam family "Eukaryotic large subunit ribosomal RNA", at positions 1 to 2897 of the family's 3401-position model. The record is from RNAcentral.
ACGAUCUCAAAUGAAGUCAGACAACCCGCUGAAUUUAAGCAUAUUAUUAAGCGGAGGAAAAGAAACUAACAAGGAUUCCCUCAGUAACGGCGAGUGAAGCGGGAAGAGCUCAAGAUGGGAAUCGUCUAUGUUUCUACGUAGACGAAUUGUAAUCUUGUGAUGUAGUGUCAGGUUGGUAUGUACAUGUAAAUACACUGGAAUGUGUUAUCAUAGAAGGUGAGAAUCCUGUAUGUUGUGUAUAUAAACCACCGUACGACCUAUAUUCUUCGAGUCGCGUUGCUUGGGAGUGCAGCGCAAAGUGGGAGGUACAUGCCUUCUAAAGCUAAAUAAUGGCGAGAGACCGAUAGUGAACAAGUACCGUGAGGGAAAGAUGACAAGCACCUGGAAACGGGAGUGAAAAGAGCUUGAAAUUGUCAAGAGAGAAGCACUGGGGAGUUUUCUAGGAUUGUUUGGAUAUGGAGGGAAUAUGUAGAUCUAGUACUGUGGUAUGAUUUCGUAAGAGACAUAUAUAUUGCUAGUAUUUGUAUAAGAACUACCAGCAAAUAAUCCCGUUAUCCUUUGUUUGGAUACAUAGAGAGUUUUAUAACAAGGUAGCUCAUUCUAUAAUUUCGGUUAUAGAUCAAUACGAGAACAUAUAGGUUAUAAGAAGUAUAUGGAUCUAGACAAAGUUUAUUCCACAAAGUUGAUAUAUGAUUGUAGAUCGCUUGUUAAUGCUAUUACAUGUGUAUACGUACCUUGUAGUAUCCUUAAUAACCCUGUCUAUAACACAAGUUGAUUUUGGAUAACGAGAAAGACCCUCAAUGACCCGUCUUGAAACACGGACCAAGGAGUCUAACGCCUAUGCGAGUAUUCGAGUGUGUAAAACUCUAGAAUGCGUAGUGAAAGCGGAGAGAAUUGAUUGCAAUUCUUGUGGUAUGAGAUAUAUAUUUCUUGUGAAUAUCAUAUUGCAAUACCAACCGAUCGAGCUAUCUUUGUACUUGUACAAAUGACCCGAUUUGAGUUUGAGCAUAGUUGUUGGGACCCGAAAGAUGGUGAUCUAUGCCUGAGCAGGGUGAAGCCAGGGGAAACUCUGGUGGAGGCUCGUAGCGAUACUGACGUGCAAAUCGUUCGUCUGACUUGGGUAUAGGGGCGAAAGACUAAUCGAACCAUCUAGUAGCUGGUUCUCCCCGAAGUUUCCCUCAGGAUAGCAAACAAUGUGUGAUAGUUUUACCCGGUAAAGCGAAUGAUUAGAGGUUUAUGGAACUCUUUUGUUCUGUGCCUAUUCUCAAACUUUUAAUAGGUAAGAUAUUCUAUGUUACUUUAUGGAACUAGAAUGUGGAAUAUAUAUUGUUUAGUGGGCCAUUUUUGGUAAGCAGAACUGGCGAUGCGGGAUGAACCGGUCGUGGAGAUUAAGGUGCCAAAGAAGUCACUCAUCUAGAUACUGCAAAAGGUGUUAUUUCAUAUGGACAGCAGGACGGUGGUCAUGGAAGUCGAAAUCCGCUAAGGAGUGUGUAACAACUCACCUGCCGAAUGGAAUAGCCCUGAAAAUGGAUGGCGCUAAAGUGAUUCACCUAAAUCUCACCAUAAUAUCAAAUCGUACAUUAUGGAAUGUAUACUAAUAGGAUAUUAUGUGUAGGGGAGCGUGGUGUUCUUUGUCAAUAUUCUAUCGUGAGAUAGAUAGGAAAGGAUACUAGUGCAGAUCUUGGUGGUAGUAGCAAUGAUUCAAAUGUGAUCUUUGAAGACUGACGUGGAGAAAGGUUCCAUGGGAAACGUCUUGUUCCAUGGGUUAGUCGAUCCUAAGUUGGUACCGAAAGGUUGUACAUGAUAGGUGUGUUAGCUUUGUUAUUGUGCGCAGUAGCGAAUGAAUCAUACCAUCUCCAACGAAAGGGAAAUAGGUUCAUAUUCCUAUACCCAUACGAUGCAAAUAGAUAAACAUUGGUAACAAAAGGAACAUCCGAGACAUUCGUUUGUAAUCUCUGAAGAAAUUUCUCUUCUUUUUAACAGUUUAUGUGGUAGGCAUACUACAUUCUUUCUAUGUGUAACAACAUAGAAAUGGUAACACCAUGGAAGCGUAUUGUACGGAGAUAUGGUUGUACAACUGGGAAAGGUGAUACUUUAUGUAUUUUUACUAUGUAAAAUAAGUAAAAUCACUAGAGAACUUACAAAAGGAUCCUUGAAAAUCGGAUAGACUGCUUAUGCGUUGUCAUCGUGGUUCGUACUCAUAACCGCAUCAGGUCUCCAAGGUGAAUAGCCUCUAGUCUAUAGAAUAAUGUAGGUAAGGGAAGUCGGCAAAAUAGAUCCGUAACUUUGGGAAAAGGAUUGGCUCAAUGGGAUGCUCUAAUCUCGUAUUAGAACAACAUCCACCAUUGAACUGAAACGGACAAGAGGAAUCCGACUGUUUAAUUAAAACAAAGCAUUGCGAUGGUUCGCAACGAAUGUUUACGCAAUGUGAUUUCUGCCCAGUGCUUUGAAUAUCAAUGUGGAGAAAUUCAAGUAAGUAGUGGUCAACGGCGGGAGUAACUAUGACUCUCUUAAGGUAGCCAAAUGCCUCGUCGUCUAAUUAGCGACGCGCAUGAAUGGAUUAAUGAGAUUCCUACUGUCCCUAUCUACGAUCUAGCGAAACCACAGCCAAGGGAACGGGCUUGGAAAUUUCAGCGGGGAAAGAAGACCCUCUUGAGCUUGACUCUAGUCUGACUUGGUGAAUUGACUCGAUUGGUGUAGCAUAUGUGGGAGUACGCAAGUACAAUAGUGAAAUACCACAACUUUCGACGUUAAUUUGCUCAUCUAUUUAGUAUCUCACAUCUUAUUGAAGUAUUUUAGAGACUCAUAGAAACAAAGUCAGGUGGGGAGUUUGACUGGGGCGGUACAUCUGUUAAACGAUAACACAGGUGUCCUAAGAUGAGCUCAACGAGAGCAGAAAUCUCGUGUAGAACAAAAGGGUAAAAGCUCAUUUAAUUGUUGAUUUUCAGUACGAAUACAAAUAAUGAAAGUUUGGCCUAUCGAUCCUUUAGUUGCAUAAUCUUAUAAAGCAUGUUUAUCUAGAGGUGUCAGAAAAGUUACCAAAGGGAUAACUGGCUUGUGGCAGCCAAGAGUUCAUAUCGACGUUGCUUUUUGAUUCUUCGAUGUCGGCUCUUCCUAU